CUGAGGAAGAGUCAGGAGUCUGUACUGAGGAAGAGCCUGGCGUCUCUCCUGAGGAAGAUUCAGGAGUCUGUACUGAGGAAGAGUCUGGAGGCUGUACUGAGGAAGAGUCAGGAGUCUUUACUGAGGAAUAGCCUGGCGUGUCUCCUGAGGAAGACUCGGGAAUAUCCCAGUCUGACACAGCUCCGGCCCUGGGCUGCUGUACGUCAUCUUCAUCAUCAUCAGUGUCCGUCACCCACUGUCCACCUCUCUCUCUGUCCACCUCCUAUUGUCCAUCACUCACUGUCCACCUCUUCUGUCCCGAAGGAGAGACUGACAGCUGCAGAGAGACAGACAGCGCCCCCUCCUGGACAGACUCCUCCGGGGUCUCCUCAGGACUGUCCUUCUACAGUUUCCGACUGCGCCUCUUCCUCGUUCUUCCUCAAGGCCUGUCCGUCAUGACUCUCCUGGCGUCCGAGAGAUCCCUGCUCAUCCGGAACAAGUUCCGCUCCGUCCUGCAGUUACGCAUACAGAACCGGAGACAGCAGACAGAGCUGAGCUCUGAAAACGGUAAGAGUCUCCAGUCCCUUAUACCAAACUGUAAGGAGAGUUUA
RNAcentral lists this long non-coding RNA (590 nucleotides) under Lepisosteus oculatus (spotted gar). RNAcentral's name for it is "lncRNA (ENSLOCG00000022829.1)". The record is from RNAcentral. Lineage: Eukaryota; Metazoa; Chordata; Actinopteri; Semionotiformes; Lepisosteidae.